GAUGAACGCUAGCGGGAGGCUUAACACAUGCAAGUCGAGGGGCAGCAUAGGGUAGCAAUACUCUGAUGGCGACCGGCAAACGGGUGAGUAACGCGUAUGCAACCUACCCUGUACAGGGGGAUAACCCGGAGAAAUUCGGACUAAUAUCCCGUAAUAAUAUCCGGAGGCAUCUUUGGAUAUUUAAAGUUUCGACGGUACGGGAUGGGCAUGCGUAACAUUAGCUGGUUGGUAAGGUAACGGCUUACCAAGGCUAUGAUGUUUAGGGGUCCUGAGAGGGUGGUCCCCCACACUGGUACUGAGACACGGACCAGACUCCUACGGGAGGCAGCAGUGAGGAAUAUUGGUCAAUGGGCGCAAGCCUGAACCAGCCAUCCCGCGUGCAGGAAGACGGCCCUAUGGGUUGUAAACUGCUUUUCCAGGGAGAGAAACUUACGCACGUGUUGCGUGACUGACGGUACCCUGGGAAUAAGCAUCGGCUAACUCCGUGCCAGCAGCCGCGGUAAACUGUCUACG
Molecule: ribosomal RNA, 513 nt
Filed under: uncultured bacterium
Lineage: Bacteria
Description: bacterial SSU rRNA
Rfam family: Bacterial small subunit ribosomal RNA
Source: RNAcentral